GAUGAACGCUGGCGGCGUGCCUAAUACAUGCAAGUCGAGCGAACAGACGAGGAGCUUGCUCCUCUGACGUUAGCGGCGGACGGGUGAGUAACACGUGGAUAACCUACCUAUAAGACUGGGAUAACUUCGGGAAACCGGAGCUAAUACCGGAUAAUAUAUUGAACCGCAUGGUUCAAUAGUGAAAGACGGUUUUGCUGUCACUUAUAGAUGGAUCCGCGCCGCAUUAGCUAGUUGGUAAGGUAACGGCUUACCAAGGCAACGAUGCGUAGCCGACCUGAGAGGGUGAUCGGCCACACUGGAACUGAGACACGGUCCAGACGCCUACGGGAGGCAGCAGUAGGGAAUCUUCCGCAAUGGGCGAAAGCCUGACGGAGCAACGCCGCGUGAGUGAUGAAGGUCUUCGGAUCGUAAAACUCUGUUAUUAGGGAAGAACAAAUGUGUAAGUAACUAUGCACGUCUUGACGGUACCGAAUCAGAAAGCCACGGCUAACUACGUG
RNAcentral lists this ribosomal RNA (497 nucleotides) under uncultured bacterium. RNAcentral describes it as "partial 16S ribosomal RNA". It matches the Rfam family "Bacterial small subunit ribosomal RNA", at positions 28 to 507 of the family's 1533-position model. The record is from RNAcentral.